RNAcentral lists this ribosomal RNA (207 nucleotides) under uncultured bacterium. Its description in RNAcentral is "partial 16S ribosomal RNA". It matches the Rfam family "Bacterial small subunit ribosomal RNA", at positions 568 to 774 of the family's 1533-position model. The record is from RNAcentral.
UGCGUAGGCGGUCUGCUAAGUUGGAUGUGAAACCCCCGGGCUUAACCUGGGGCCUGCAUCUAAUACUGACAGACUAGAGUGCAGGAGAGGGAAGCGGAAUUCCUAGUGUAGCGGUGAAAUGCGUAGAUAUUAGGAGGAACACCAGUGGCGAAGGCGGCUUUCUGGACUGUAACUGACGCUGAGGCACGAAAGCGUGGGGAGCAAACA